This 497-nucleotide ribosomal RNA is filed under the name uncultured bacterium. RNAcentral's name for it is "partial 16S ribosomal RNA". It matches the Rfam family "Bacterial small subunit ribosomal RNA", at positions 28 to 507 of the family's 1533-position model. The record is from RNAcentral.
GACGAACGCUGGCGGCGUGCCUAAUACAUGCAAGUUGAGCGCUGAAGGUUGGUACUUGUACCCACUGGAUGAGCAGCGAACGGGUGAGUAACGCGUGGGGAAUCUGCCUUUGAGCGGGGGACAACAUUUGGAAACGAAUGCUAAUACCGCAUAAAAACUUUAAACACAAGUUUUAAGUUUGAAAGAUGCAAUUGCAUCACUCAAAGAUGAUCCCGCGUUGUAUUAGCUAGUUGGUGAGGUAAAGGCUCACCAAGGCGAUGAUACAUAGCCGACCUGAGAGGGUGAUCGGCCACAUUGGGAAUGAGACACGGCCCAAACUCCUACGGGAGGCAGCAGUAGGGAAUCUUCGGCAAUGGACGAAAGUCUGACCGAGCAACGCCGCGUGAGUGAAGAAGGUUUUCGGAUCGUAAAAAUCUGUUGGUAGAGAAGAACGUUGGUGAGAGUGGAAAGCUCAUCAAGUGACGGUAACUACCCAGAAAGGGACGGCUAACUACGUG